Molecule: ribosomal RNA, 498 nt
Filed under: uncultured bacterium
Lineage: Bacteria
Description: partial 16S ribosomal RNA
Rfam family: Bacterial small subunit ribosomal RNA
Source: RNAcentral
AUUGAACGCUGGCGGCAUGCCUUACACAUGCAAGUCGAACGGUAACAGGUCUUCGGAUGCUGACGAGUGGCGAACGGGUGAGUAAUACAUCGGAACGUGCCUAGUAGUGGGGGAUAACUACUCGAAAGAGUGGCUAAUACCGCAUGAGAUCUACGGAUGAAAGCAGGGGAUCGCAAGACCUUGUGCUACUAGAGCGGCCGAUGGCAGAUUAGGUAGUUGGUGGGAUAAAAGCUUACCAAGCCGACGAUCUGUAGCUGGUCUGAGAGGACGAUCAGCCACACUGGGACUGCGACACGGCCCAGACUCCUACGGGAGGCAACAGUGGGGAAUUUUGGACAAUGGGCGCAAGCCUGAUCCAGCAAUGCCGCGUGCAGGAUGAAGGCCUUCGGGUUGUAAACUGCUUUUGUACGGAACGAAAAGCCCCGGGUUAAUACCCUGGGGUCAUGACGGUACCGUAAGAAUAAGCACCGGCUAACUACGUGCCAGCAGCCGCGGUAA